UAAAGGGUCCGUAGGCGGUUUAGUAAGUCAGUGGUGAAAGCCCAUCGCUCAACGGUGGAACGGCCAUUGAUACUGCUAAACUUGAAUUAUUAGGAAGUAACUAGAAUAUGUAGUGUAGCGGUGAAAUGCUUAGAGAUUACAUGGAAUACCAAUUGCGAAGGCAGGUUACUACUAAUGGAUUGACGCUGAUGGACGAAAGCGUGGGUAGCGAACAGGAUUAGAUACCCUGGUAGUCCACGCCGUAAACGAUGGAUACUAGCUGUUGGAAGCAAUUUCAGUGGCUAAGCGAAAGUGAUAAGUAUCCCACCUGGGGAGUACGUUCGCAAGAAUGAAACUCAAAGGAAUUGACGGGGGCCCGCACAAGCGGUGGAGCAUGUGGUUUAAUUCGAUGAUACGCGAGGAACCUUACCAAGGCUUAAAUGUAGAUUGACCGGUUUGGAAACAGACCUUUCGCAAGACAAUUUACAAGGUGCUGCAUGGUUGUCGUCAGCUCGUGCCGUGAGGUGUCAGGUUAAGUCCUAUAACGAGCGCAACCCCUGUUGUUAGUUGCCAGCGAGUCAUGUCGGGAACUCUAACGAGACUCCCAGUGCAAACUGAGAGGAAGGUGGGGAUGACGUCAAAUCAUCACGGCCCUUACGCCUUGGGCUACACACGUGCUACAAUGGCCGGUACAGAGAGCAGCCACUGGGUGACCAGGAGCGAAUCUAUAAAACCGGUCACAGUUCGGACUCCGAGUCUGCAACUAGACUCCGUGAAGCUGGAAUCGCUAGUAAUCGGAUAUCAGCCAUGAUC
This 792-nucleotide ribosomal RNA is filed under the name uncultured Flavobacterium sp. RNAcentral describes it as "bacterial SSU rRNA". It matches the Rfam family "Bacterial small subunit ribosomal RNA", at positions 561 to 1359 of the family's 1533-position model. Lineage: Bacteria; Pseudomonadati; Bacteroidota; Flavobacteriia; Flavobacteriales; Flavobacteriaceae. The record is from RNAcentral.